GGGGAAUAUUGGACAAUGGGGGCAACCCUGAUCCAGCAAUGCCGCGUGUGUGAAGAAGGUCUUCGGAUUGUAAAGCACUUUCGACGGGGACGAUGAUGACGGUACCCGUAGAAGAAGCCCCGGCUAACUUCGUGCCAGCAGCCGCGGUAAUACGAAGGGGGCUAGCGUUGCUCGGAAUGACUGGGCGUAAAGGGCGUGUAGGCGGUUUACACAGUCAGAUGUGAAAUCCCCGGGCUUAACCUGGGAGCUGCAUUUGAUACGUGUAGACUAGAGUGUGAGAGAGGGUUGUGGAAUUCCCAGUGUAGAGGUGAAAUUCGUAGAUAUUGGGAAGAACACCGGUGGCGAAGGCGGCAACCUGGCUCAUGACUGACGCUGAGGCGCGAAAGCGUGGGGAGCAAACAGGUUAGAUACCCUGGUAGUCCACGCUGUAAA
Molecule: ribosomal RNA, 432 nt
Filed under: uncultured bacterium
Lineage: Bacteria
Description: partial 16S ribosomal RNA
Rfam family: Bacterial small subunit ribosomal RNA
Source: RNAcentral